This 2760-nucleotide ribosomal RNA is filed under the name Triticum aestivum (bread wheat). RNAcentral's name for it is "partial small subunit ribosomal RNA". The record is from RNAcentral. Lineage: Eukaryota; Viridiplantae; Streptophyta; Magnoliopsida; Poales; Poaceae.
AUGCUGCAAACACGGCCUGCGAUCUUCAAUCCAAUACUUUGUGGAGCACGCCUACUGCAGCAAUGGGCGGUUGACAUGUACAUCAAGAUUGAGAGCUGUCGGUUGAGGUGGUACAGGAAGAACCAGACGCAGAUCCGUGCCGAUUUGUAUAAAGGAGUUGUUGAUGCGAUCACAUCGGGUGAGACGCGAGCAAGCGCUGUUGGGGUAAGAAUAGUGCUCCCUGGAACUUACCCUGGUGGCGACCGCGACAUGAAGAAGAGACAUAUGGAUGCCAUGGCAAUUGUCCAUACAUACGGGAAGCCUGACAUCUUCUUGACCAUGACUUGCAACCCUAAAUGGGAAGAGAUAACAAAUGAGUUGCUUCCUGGACAGACGGCGCAAGACCGACCUGAUAUUGUGGCUCGCGUGUUCUAUGGCAAACUAGAGGCUAUGAAAGAUAUGUUGCUCAAGAAGAUGGUCCUGGGUGUUGUUGUUGCUUAUGUUUACGUAGUUGAGUUCCAGAAGAGAGGCCUCCCCCACGCACAUUUUUUGUUGAUCAUGGAUUCAACGUAUAAGCUUCUUGUCCCAGAGCAGUAUGACCGACUCAUUUCCGCAGAGCUCCCAGACAAGCAAAAGUAUCCUGAAUUGUAUGCAAUGGUGGUAAAACAUAUGAUGCACGGACCAUGCGGUGCUCUCAACCCGAAGAAUGUUUGCAUGCAAGAUAAUGAAUGCAAGUGCAGAUACCCGCGGCCGUUCAAUGAGAACACGAUACAAGGCAAGGACUCAUACCCAGUUUAUCGGCGUAGAGACGAUGGUAGACGCGCUAAGGUUCGAGGGAAAAUGUUGGACAACCGAUGGGUUGUGCCAUAUAACCCUUACCUUCUGCGGAUGUUUAAUUGCCACAUCAACGUCGAGGUCUGCUCUAGCAUAAAGGCUGUAAAAUACAUUUAUAAGUACAUUUAUAAGGGCCAUGAUAAGGCUUCUUUCAGCAUCGACCAGCCAGACGCUGAUGGUAACAUUGAUGAGAUCAAGAGAUACGUUGACGCAAGAUGGGUCACCCCUCCGGAGGCUAUGUGGAGGAUAUUUGGCUUCCCACUGUGUGCCAAUUACCCGCCUGUCUUGCAGUUGCCUCUUCAUCUCCCGAAUAUGCACAGGGUUGCAUUCAAUGCACAGGCUGACUUGAAGAAUGUUGUAUCCUCCGAGAAUGCUUCAAAAUCCAUGUUAACGGAGUAUUUCAAAGCAAACGAACUACACCCUUGGGCAAGGCAUAUAUUGUACAAGGAUUUCCCCGGAAGCUUCACGUGGGAGAAGAAAAAGAAGAUAUGGAAGAGGCGGAUGGAGCGUUUUCAACUAGGUCGUAUCGUGUCUGCCAAUCCUGCCGAGGGGGAGCGAUACUACCUUCGUGUGUUGUUGAACCAUGUUCCGGGGAAAACAUCAUGUGAGGACUUGCUCACCGUCGACGGCGUGGUAUGUGGGAGCUUUAGAGAGUCCGGUGAAAGGUUGGGACUCAUCGAGGCAGACAACACGCUCGACGACUGUCUUACUGAGGCGGAGCAGUGGGCUAUGCCAUGUUCUCUUAGGAGGCUCUUUGCAACAAUCUUGGUGCACUGCGAGCCAGGCGACGUGCGCGGGUUAUGGGAUAGACACCUCGAGCCUAUGUCCGAUGACUACCGUCGGACACGCACGUCCCCGAACGAGGUGGAGCAAAUGGUGUUGCUUGACAUUAGGGGUAUGUUGCAGUCUAUGGGUAAAGACAUUAUUGAUUUUGCUCUUCCAACGAUCGAUGAUGCAUUUGACCCAACCGAGGGCGAGGCCAGAGAGAUCAUCGAGGAAUCAACCAUUGAGUUUGACGAAAGUGACACUAAAUUGUCAUCUUCCCUGAAUUUUGAGCAAAGGGCUGCAUACGACGAGAUACUAGCGGCUGUUGAACACGGUGAUGGGGGUAUAUUCUUUGUUGAUGGCCCUGGAGGUACGGGGAAGACCUUCCUUUACAGGGCGAUGCUCGCCAAGGUGAGGCGCGAGGGCAAGAUUGCUAUCGCUACCGCGACGUCGGGCGUCGCUGCUUCUAUCAUGCCUGGCGGCAGGACUGCCCACUCGAGAUUCAAAAUCCCACUGAGUUGUGAUGAUGGAGCCUCGUGCAGCUUCACCAAGCAGAGUGGGACCGCCAAGCUGCUAAGGAUGGCCUCAUUGAUACUAUGGGACGAGGCCAGCAUGACUAAGCGACAAGCGGUUGAGGCAUUAGACAAUAGCAUGCGCGACAUCAUGGGAAUACGUGACCGACCCUUUGGAGGAAAGACUGUUGUUUUUGGCGGGGACUUUAGGCAGGUGCUUCCGGUCGUCAGAAGGGGGUCACGGGGCCAGAUAAUUGAUGCAAGCCUCCGAAGUUCUCAUCUAUGGAAGAGUAUGCGGCAGCUUCAGCUCAUCACCAACAUGAGGGCUCAUAAUGACAAGUGGUUUGCAAAUUACUUGCUCAGGGUCAGUAAUGGCACAGAGGAAGCCGACGAUCAAGGCAACAUACUACUCCCUGAUGAUAUCUGUCUGCCAUCUACAGGCGAGGUUGACGACCUGGAGAAGCUGAUUGACCACGUGUUUCCGAGUCUAGAUGACAACAUGGCAGAUUCGAGUUACAUGACAUCUCGCGCAAUCCUUUCCACGACAAAUGACAACGUCGACAAGAUAAACAUCCGCAUGAUAGAGCGUUUCCACGGAGAUGAAGUAAUCUACCAUAGCUUUGACAGUGCGGAGGAUGACCCAUAUGGCUACUACGCUCCUGAGUUUCUG